AUUGAACGCUGGCGGUAUGCUUAACACAUGCAAGUCGAACGGUAGCAGGCCUUCGGGCGCUGACGAGUGGCGGACGGGUGAGUAAUGCCUAGGAAUCUGCCUGGUAGUGGGGGAUAACGUUCGGAAACGGACGCUAAUACCGCAUACGUCCUACGGGAGAAAGCAGGGGACCUUCGGGCCUUGCGCUAUCAGAUGAGCCUAGGUCGGAUUAGCUAGUUGGUGAGGUAAUGGCUCACCAAGGCGACGAUCCGUAACUGGUCUGAGAGGACGAUCAGCCACACUGGAACUGAGACACGGUCCAGACUCCUACGGGAGGCUG
Molecule: ribosomal RNA, 319 nt
Filed under: uncultured Pseudomonadota bacterium
Lineage: Bacteria; Pseudomonadati; Pseudomonadota
Description: bacterial SSU rRNA
Rfam family: Bacterial small subunit ribosomal RNA
Source: RNAcentral